UCGGGGUUCCCCGGAGGCGUGGCUGGAAAACCCCGUCAGGACCGAAAGGUAGCAGCGGUAUUCAGUCCACGCUUGUCGGGUGCAGCUCCGGCGG
This 94-nucleotide signal recognition particle RNA is filed under the name Akkermansia sp. RNAcentral's name for it is "signal recognition particle sRNA small type". It matches the Rfam family "Bacterial small signal recognition particle RNA". Rfam says of the family: The signal recognition particle (SRP) is a universally conserved ribonucleoprotein involved in the co-translational targeting of proteins to membranes. Lineage: Bacteria; Pseudomonadati; Verrucomicrobiota; Verrucomicrobiia; Verrucomicrobiales; Akkermansiaceae. The record is from RNAcentral.